RNAcentral lists this small nuclear RNA (157 nucleotides) under Cavia porcellus (domestic guinea pig). Its description in RNAcentral is "U1 spliceosomal RNA (ENSCPOG00000019488.2)". It matches the Rfam family "U1 spliceosomal RNA". From Rfam's summary of the family: U1 is a small nuclear RNA (snRNA) component of the spliceosome (involved in pre-mRNA splicing). The record is from RNAcentral. Lineage: Eukaryota; Metazoa; Chordata; Mammalia; Rodentia; Caviidae.
AUAAUUACCUGACAGGGAGGUACCAUGAUCAUGAAGGUGAUUUCCCCAGGAUGCCACUCACCCACUGCACACUAGAUGUGCUGACCAUCAUGAUUUCACUCUGAGAAACUCAACUUGGUAAUUUGUGGUGGGGGUACUGAAUUCACACUCUUCCCUG